This 29-nucleotide non-coding RNA is filed under the name Mus musculus (house mouse). Lineage: Eukaryota; Metazoa; Chordata; Mammalia; Rodentia; Muridae. The record is from RNAcentral.
UAGAAGGUUCUCAAGUGGAGGAGAAGAGC